RNAcentral lists this unclassified non-coding RNA (273 nucleotides) under uncultured fungus. RNAcentral describes it as "partial contains 5.8S ribosomal RNA, internal transcribed spacer 2, and large subunit ribosomal RNA". The stretch from base 1 to 52 matches the Rfam family "5.8S ribosomal RNA", at positions 103 to 154 of the family's 154-position model. Lineage: Eukaryota; Fungi. The record is from RNAcentral.
AACGCACCUUGCGCCUCUUGGUAUUCCGAGAGGCAUGCCUGUUUGAGUGUCUUAUAAAAUCAAUCCCCACGGGUUUCUGACCUGGCGGUGGACUUGGAAUUGGGUGUCUGCCGCUCACACGGCUCGCCUUAAAGACGUUAGUGGGACAAGUUGCCUAUGGCUUGACGUAAUAAGUUUCGUCGGACCUGGUGACUUAUGCCCGCUCACAACCCGCCCUCGGGCAACUACUUUAUGCUAGACCUCAAAUCAGGUAGGACUACCCGCUGAACUUAA